This 2932-nucleotide ribosomal RNA is filed under the name Salmonella enterica. RNAcentral's name for it is "bacterial LSU rRNA". It matches the Rfam family "Bacterial large subunit ribosomal RNA". The record is from RNAcentral. Lineage: Bacteria; Pseudomonadati; Pseudomonadota; Gammaproteobacteria; Enterobacterales; Enterobacteriaceae.
GGGUUGUGAGGUUAAGCGACUAAGCGUACACGGUGGAUGCCCUGGCAGUCAGAGGCGAUGAAGGACGUGCUAAUCUGCGAUAAGCGCCGGUAAGGUGAUAUGAACCGUUAUAACCGGCGAUUUCCGAAUGGGGAAACCCAGUGUGACUCGUCACACUAUCAUUAACUGAAUCCAUAGGUUAAUGAGGCGAACCGGGGGAACUGAAACAUCUAAGUACCCCGAGGAAAAGAAAUCAACCGAGAUUCCCCCAGUAGCGGCGAGCGAACGGGGAGGAGCCCAGAGCCUGAAUCAGCAUGUGUGUUAGUGGAAGCGUCUGGAAAGGCGCGCGAUACAGGGUGACAGCCCCGUACACAAAAGCGCAUGUGCUGUGAGCUCGAUGAGUAGGGCGGGACACGUGGUAUCCUGUCUGAAUAUGGGGGGACCAUCCUCCAAGGCUAAAUACUCCUGACUGACCGAUAGUGAACCAGUACCGUGAGGGAAAGGCGAAAAGAACCCCGGCGAGGGGAGUGAAAAAGAACCUGAAACCGUGUACGUACAAGCAGUGGGAGCACAGGUUUACCUGUGUGACUGCGUACCUUUUGUAUAAUGGGUCAGCGACUUAUAUUCUGUAGCAAGGUUAACCGAAUAGGGGAGCCGGAGGGAAACCGAGUCUUAAUUGGGCGUUAAGUUGCAGGGUAUAGACCCGAAACCCGGUGAUCUAGCCAUGGGCAGGUUGAAGGUUGGGUAACACUAACUGGAGGACCGAACCGACUAAUGUUGAAAAAUUAGCGGAUGACCUGUGGCUGGGGGUGAAAGGCCAAUCAAACCGGGAGAUAGCUGGUUCUCCCCGAAAGCUAUUUAGGUAGCGCCUCGUGAAUUCAUCUCCGGGGGUAGAGCACUGUUUCGGCUAGGGGGCCAUCCCGGCUUACCAACCCGAUGCAAACUGCGAAUACCGGAGAAUGUUAUCACGGGAGACACACGGCGGGUGCUAACGUCCGUCGUGAAGAGGGAAACAACCCAGACCGCCAGCUAAGGUCCCAAAGUCAUGGUUAAGUGGGAAACGAUGUGGGAAGGCCCAGACAGCCAGGAUGUUGGCUUAGAAGCAGCCAUCAUUUAAAGAAAGCGUAAUAGCUCACUGGUCGAGUCGGCCUGCGCGGAAGAUGUAACGGGGCUAAACCAUGCACCGAAGCUGCGGCAGCGACGCUUAUGCGUUGUUGGGUAGGGGAGCGUUCUGUAAGCCUGUGAAGGUGGCCUGUGAGGGUUGCUGGAGGUAUCAGAAGUGCGAAUGCUGACAUAAGUAACGAUAAAGCGGGUGAAAAGCCCGCUCGCCGGAAGACCAAGGGUUCCUGUCCAACGUUAAUCGGGGCAGGGUGAGUCGACCCCUAAGGCGAGGCCGAAAGGCGUAGUCGAUGGGAAACGGGUUAAUAUUCCCGUACUUGGUGUUACUGCGAAGGGGGGACGGAGAAGGCUAUGUUGGCCGGGCGACGGUUGUCCCGGUUUAAGCGUGUAGGCUGGUUUUCCAGGCAAAUCCGGAAAAUCAAGGCUGAGGCGUGAUGACGAGGCACUACGGUGCUGAAGCAACAAAUGCCCUGCUUCCAGGAAAAGCCUCUAAGCAUCAGGUAACACGAAAUCGUACCCCAAACCGACACAGGUGGUCAGGUAGAGAAUACCAAGGCGCUUGAGAGAACUCGGGUGAAGGAACUAGGCAAAAUGGUGCCGUAACUUCGGGAGAAGGCACGCUGACACGUAGGUGAAGUGAUUUACUCAUGGAGCUGAAGUCAGUCGAAGAUACCAGCUGGCUGCAACUGUUUAUUAAAAACACAGCACUGUGCAAACACGAAAGUGGACGUAUACGGUGUGACGCCUGCCCGGUGCCGGAAGGUUAAUUGAUGGGGUCAGCGCAAGCGAAGCUCCUGAUCGAAGCCCCGGUAAACGGCGGCCGUAACUAUAACGGUCCUAAGGUAGCGAAAUUCCUUGUCGGGUAAGUUCCGACCUGCACGAAUGGCGUAAUGAUGGCCAGGCUGUCUCCACCCGAGACUCAGUGAAAUUGAACUCGCUGUGAAGAUGCAGUGUACCCGCGGCAAGACGGAAAGACCCCGUGAACCUUUACUAUAGCUUGACACUGAACAUUGAGCCUUGAUGUGUAGGAUAGGUGGGAGGCUUUGAAGCGUGGACGCCAGUCUGCGUGGAGCCGACCUUGAAAUACCACCCUUUAAUGUUUGAUGUUCUAACGUGGACCCGUAAUCCGGGUUGCGGACAGUGUCUGGUGGGUAGUUUGACUGGGGCGGUCUCCUCCUAAAGAGUAACGGAGGAGCACGAAGGUUGGCUAAUCCUGGUCGGACAUCAGGAGGUUAGUGCAAUGGCAUAAGCCAGCUUGACUGCGAGCGUGACGGCGCGAGCAGGUGCGAAAGCAGGUCAUAGUGAUCCGGUGGUUCUGAAUGGAAGGGCCAUCGCUCAACGGAUAAAAGGUACUCCGGGGAUAACAGGCUGAUACCGCCCAAGAGUUCAUAUCGACGGCGGUGUUUGGCACCUCGAUGUCGGCUCAUCACAUCCUGGGGCUGAAGUAGGUCCCAAGGGUAUGGCUGUUCGCCAUUUAAAGUGGUACGCGAGCUGGGUUUAGAACGUCGUGAGACAGUUCGGUCCCUAUCUGCCGUGGGCGCUGGAGAACUGAGGGGGGCUGCUCCUAGUACGAGAGGACCGGAGUGGACGCAUCACUGGUGUUCGGGUUGUCAUGCCAAUGGCACUGCCCGGUAGCUAAAUGCGGAAGAGAUAAGUGCUGAAAGCAUCUAAGCACGAAACUUGCCCCGAGAUGAGUUCUCCCUGAGACUUAGAGUCUCCUGAAGGAACGUUGAAGACGACGACGUUGAUAGGCCGGGUGUGUAAGCGCAGCGAUGCGUUGAGCUAACCGGUACUAAUGAACCGUGAGGCUUAACCUUACAACGCCGAAGCUGUU